Molecule: non-coding RNA, 24 nt
Filed under: Cricetulus griseus (Chinese hamster)
Lineage: Eukaryota; Metazoa; Chordata; Mammalia; Rodentia; Cricetidae
Source: RNAcentral
AUGGCCAAAAAUAGAAACUUGAAC